This 490-nucleotide ribosomal RNA is filed under the name uncultured bacterium. Its description in RNAcentral is "partial 16S ribosomal RNA". It matches the Rfam family "Bacterial small subunit ribosomal RNA", at positions 29 to 507 of the family's 1533-position model. The record is from RNAcentral.
AGUGAACGCUGGCGGUAGGCCUAACACAUACAAGUCGAACGGCAGCACAGGAGAGCUUGCUCUCUGGGUGGCGAGUGGCGGACGGGUGAGGAAUACAUCGGAAUCUGCCCAGUCGUGGGGGAUAACGUAGGGAAACUUACGCUAAUACCGCAUACGACCUUCGGGUGAAAGAGGGGGAUCGCAAGACCUCUCGCGAUUGGAUGAGCCGAUGUCGGAUUAGCUAGUUGGCGGGGUAAUGGCCCACCAAGGCGACGAUCCGUAGCUGGUCUGAGAGGAUGAUCAGCCACACUGGAACUGAGGCACGGUCCAGACUCCUACGGGAGGCAGCAGUGGGGAAUAUUGGACAAUGGGCGCAAGCCUGAUCCAGCCAUACCGCGUGGGUGAAGAAGGCCUUCGGGUUGUAAAGCCCUUUUGUUGGGAAAGAAAUCUUUCAGGCUAAUACCCUGGGAGGAUGACGGUACCCAAAGAAUAAGCACCGGCUAACUUCGUG